Pogona vitticeps (central bearded dragon) is the source of this 237-nucleotide non-coding RNA. The record is from RefSeq and is a predicted model, not a curated record. Lineage: Eukaryota; Metazoa; Chordata; Lepidosauria; Squamata; Agamidae.
CCUGGAGCAGCACCUGCAGGCCUCGCAGGCGUACCAAGAGGCCAUGGAGGGGCACCUGGGCUGGCUGGAGAAGGCCGAGCUGAGGAUGGCAGAAGAGUUCCUGGUGAGGGGAGACGUGGAGUCCGUGAAGCAGCAGCUCCUGGAGCUGAAGGAGUUCAAGCGAGAACUGUACCAGCGCAAGGUGGACGUAGAAAGCUUGCGGCAUCAGGUGGCCCCCAAGGGGGGAAGCCAGAAGGA